This 3845-nucleotide long non-coding RNA is filed under the name Oryza brachyantha (malo sina). RNAcentral's name for it is "long non-coding RNA (OBRA_LNC002279)". Lineage: Eukaryota; Viridiplantae; Streptophyta; Magnoliopsida; Poales; Poaceae. The record is from RNAcentral.
CUGACGCUGCUUUCGGUGCCGCCACCCAGCUGCUUUCGGUGCCAUCGCCCAACUGCUUUUGACGCCGCCGCCCAGCACUUAACUCCAACGCCAGCGCCUUCAGAGGUGUGUAUAUGCACUCAAAAUUUGUUGGUUCUCAAAAUAUAUAAAGUGUUCGUCAAGUGUUAAGGCUGUUUGAUGAAAUGCUAGAAAAAGGAUUGGUAUUAGAUAGUAGAAUUUUUGCUAAUGUCAUCAAGGCAUUCUGCAGAAAGGGUACAGGGGAAUGCAACAGAGAUGUUGCAGCUGUGUUCUGUAUUAGACGGGAUGCUUGGAAUUAUGUGAUCCAUCUAUUUUAUGUGUUCGUAACUUGGAAUUUGUUUGAUUGGAAUCUAUAUAUUAUCUUCAAUAUUAAUCACCCAAUCGGGUACACAUAGGUGAAGUCCAUUAACUGAAUACAUUCUGCCCACAGCUUAACUGAAUACCAAUAGGCACAACAUGGCCGACAAUCCAAGCACUGAAACAACAUAAUAGAGUACCAGAUAUUGUAAACCAUUAUCUAAUCCCUGAAAGCUCUACAAGAUCUUUCUUCCAUGAUCUCUGUGGAACCCCUGCCUUGAAUUUCCAUUCAAAUAAGCUCUGAUGUUUCGUUAUUGCAUCGAUCCAGAUCUUGAAAAUAUCAUUGUCAGUCUUACACUGGUAGCUGUUGAAGUAGCUCCACGCUGGCCUAAAGUACAUCAAACUUGCCCAAAAGUUUGACUAUUCACCAGAGCACCCAUAAGAAAAAGAUAUCUACAACUAACAUCCAGACUAUAGUUAAGUCAACAAAGAUAGCAUAUAAAUUUUGUCAAAUGAUAUUCCAUAACAACUGGUAAAAUUUCCAAUGGGAAUCCAUAGCUCAGCAGCUCUAUUUAGUGGAGUACAUUCUAAAGGACAGCAAUGUUUUAUUUCAACUCUACUAAGGUGGUGUUUAGAUUGAGAAAAAUUUUAGGAGAAGUGUCACGUCAAAUGUUUGACCAGGUGUCGGAAGGGGUUUUCGGACACAAAUGAAAAAACGAAUUUCACGGCUAGCCUAGAAACCGCGAGACGAAUCUUUUGAGCCUAAUUAAUCCGUCAUUAGCACAUAUUGAUUACUGUAGCACUUAUGGCUAAUCAUGGACUAAUUAGGCUCAAAAGAUUCGUCUCAAGAUUUCCUACCUAACUGUGCAAUUAGUUUUUUGGUUCAUCUAUGUUUAAUGCUUUAUUUAGGUGUCUAAAAAAAUCGAUGUGAUGUUUUUGGGAAAAUUGUUUGGAAACUAAACAAGGGCUAAAUGGAGUAGUAUAGUUUCACUGUAUAUUCACUUUCAAGGACAUCGUUGUAUAUUCUUAGCGCAUCAGAUCUCUAAAAAAAUCAAUCAUUGAUUUCUUUGAAGCAAAUAGGGCUAGAAUCUUAGAGUCAAUCAAAUAUAUACAUGCCGUCCUUGAUCAAGAUAAAGCUUUCCUUGUGACUUAAGGUUGGUGUGGUUUAUCCCCUACACUCUGCAUAAGCAGGACAACAUAACUCAUUGAGCUAUGUAAUUAUGCCAUGAAUUAAGUAAUAGCCACCUCAGUAUAUCUAUCAUGGGGAAAAAAUGACGGUUCUGACCAAAAGUAAGUACAACGCUACCUGAUUUAAUUCAUACACAUAAAGCUUUCUUGUUUUUUUUUUCUCUAGAACUCUAGGUCGACUAAAACAGACCCUGCCUAUAAGGAUCAUCAGUCAUCAGGUAAAACAUCCACGAUCAUUCAAUACGAUCAUUCAAUGGUAGCAAACAUCCACGAUCUUCAGCAUUUGCAGUUUGCAAAAUAAGAUCAAGUAGGUGGUUUCUUAAAAGACCAUGUGUAAUAACAAGAGAAAAUCUAUUGUAUGACACUUACUUUGUCCUCUUUCUAUGAUAUGCCACUGAGUUUAUCAAGUUUUAUAAUAUGUCCUUUAUUUUUCUGAACCUCUAUAGCAUAUCACUGCCGUUACCUUAGUUAUCUAUAGGGUUUACUUUUUUUAAAAGACAAAAAUAUCAAGUAAUAUCACGGAGGAAAAAACACAGUUCGAUUGGAUCUAGACCAUGGAGGAGGAGGAUAGCACACAUGCCACGAUGCCGUCGCCUGCACCCUCAGCGCCGUCGCCUCCUUGCCCCCCCGGCGUCGACGGCCGCGUCCUCGCCCCCAGCGCCGGCGGCCGCGUCCCCGCCCCCUGCGCCGACAGCCCGUUCCCCGCCCCCAGCGCGGGCGGCCGCGUCCCCGCCCCCUGCGCCGACAGCCCGUUCCCCGCCCCCAGCGCCGGCGGCCGCGUCCCCGCCCCCUGCGCCGACAGCCCGUUCCCCGCCCCCAGCGCCCGCCGCCCCGCCCCCUCCGCCGACAGCCCGUUCCCCGCCCCCAGCGUUGCCGCCGGCGCCCACGUCCCCGACCCUGCCCCCAGCCCGGGCGACCUCUUCCCCGCCCCCAACGCCGCCGGCAGCACCUGCAGCUAUCGUGCCGCCACCUGCCAUACCCAUUCAUGCAUGCCGAUUAAGGUCUUGAUUACGACGCAAUGACAUAAUGCCGCCCGAAAUUGCCGCAUCAGUACCGUAUCUAUCUCCUUAUUAAAGCUUGUGAAGUUGCUGUAAUCAUCAAGAGUAAUUACCACUAUCAUCAUCUCAUGGCAAUGGUAAUCGGCAGUGCACUAGAGGAGCAACUGUGAAAAGGGCAAAUUUGUCCUUUCACGAGUUCAAACAGAGGCUGACAGCCAAACUGACCGUCAGUGGUAUGUUACAGAGGUUCAGCAAAAUGGAGGGUAUAUUGUAGAACUUGACAAACUUAAUUGUAUAUUGUAGAAAGAUGACAAAGUCAGUGGCAUACAGUGGAUUUUCUCUAAUAAUAAACCAGGAGAAGCCUGUUUCAUGACAAACAUUUCCUGAGAUAAUUAGUGAACCAGAAAUUCCUCAACAAUAAACACAAAAUCAGUUUUCCGUUGGAUCACAAAAUAUCAGGGCUUUAUCAAAUAAUAGACUAAUCUGGAUAAAAGUUAUGAACAGACAGAUCCCAAAUAUUAAGAAUGGGAUAUAAUUAAUCAAAUUACACAGGAUAAACAUAAGUGUUGGCUGACAGAUUACAAAAGCAUAAUAUGUCAAAGAGAAAUAAUUGCAGGCCAAAACCAAUAAGGAAAUUUACCUUCAUUGGCUAUUCACUAAUAGCACAGAUUCAAAUAAGGCCACUACCAUGCAAAGUAGUGAAAAAGAGCAAGCAGACGUAUGAGAACUCUCAAAUUUGGUAAGACUAAAGAUUUACUCCUUGUUUCAUCAGAUAAUUAUAUGGUUGCAGUUGUGACAGAUAAUUCCUUGGUUCAAGAAGAUGCUGAUGAGAAAAAGGAUGAAAAGCAGGAGUUACACCAUAUUUUUUGCUGAACCUAUGCGAGCAUCCAAUUCAUUUGUUGGCUAGGAUGAAAAGCAGGAGUUACACCAUAUUUGUUGCCCGUAUGUGUUUGGCAAAGUUUUGAUUCAUUCCCGAUACUUUUCUCUUUUGUUCUGAGUUAUCUCAACUUUGUCAUUUAUCAGGACAUCAUUACAGGAGGCGGUCAUAAUUGUAACAGAUAUCCGGUUAACACGACAUAAUGUUUUACAGAUGAAGUUAUCCAAAUUCUAAUCUUCAUAAGACAUUCAUUUUCAUUUUUUUAGUUGUUCAUAUACUAUGUGGUCUGAACUGGAUGGCAGAGCGAGUACUUAAUUGUAAUUAAGAAUUUAAGAUUAGUAUUUUUAUAUCUAGGAUUCAUAUACUGUGUUCUGAACUAGAUGGCAGAGCGAGUACUUAAUUGUAAUUGAGAUUAGUAUUUUUUAUAAUUGGGAUUCAUAUACUUUGUGUUCUGAACUGGAUGGCAG